RNAcentral lists this ribosomal RNA (637 nucleotides) under uncultured bacterium. RNAcentral's name for it is "bacterial SSU rRNA". It matches the Rfam family "Bacterial small subunit ribosomal RNA", at positions 607 to 1244 of the family's 1533-position model. The record is from RNAcentral.
GCUCAACCGAGGAAGUGCUUCGAAAACUGGUAAUCUUGAGUGCAGAAGAGGAAAGUGGAACUCCAUGUGUAGCGGUGGAAUGCGUAGAUAUAUGGAAGAACACCAGUGGCGAAGGCGGCUUUCUGGUCUGUAACUGACGCUGAGAUUCGAAAGCAUGGGUAGCAAACAGGAUUAGAUACCCUGGUAGUCCAUGCCGUAAACGAUGAGUGCUAAGUGUUGGAGGGUUUCCGCCCUUCAGCGCUGCAGCUAACGCAUUAAGCACUCCGCCUGGGGAGUACGAUCGCAAGAUUGAAACUCAAAGGAAUUGACGGGGGCCCGCACAAGCGGUGGAGCAUGUGGUUUAAUUCGAAGCAACGCGAAGAACCUUACCAGGUCUUGACAUACCAUGGAGAGCUUAGAGAUAAGUCUUUCCCUUCGGGGACAUGGAUACAGGUGGUGCAUGGUUGUCGUCAGCUCGUGUCGUGAGAUGUUGGGUUAAGUCCCGCAACGAGCGCAACCCUUAUUAUCAGUUGCCAGCAUUCAGUUGGGCACUCUGGUGAGACUGCCGGUGAUAAACCGGAGGAAGGUGGGGACGACGUCAAAUCAUCGUGCCCCUUAUGACCUGGGCUACACACGUGCUACAAUGGUCGGUACAACG